This 377-nucleotide unclassified non-coding RNA is filed under the name plant metagenome. RNAcentral's name for it is "partial contains 5.8S ribosomal RNA, internal transcribed spacer 2, and large subunit ribosomal RNA". The stretch from base 1 to 104 matches the Rfam family "5.8S ribosomal RNA", at positions 51 to 154 of the family's 154-position model. The record is from RNAcentral.
AAAUGCGAUAAGUAAUGUGACUUGCAGAAUUCAGUGAAUCAUCGAAUCUUUGAACGCACCUUGCGCUCCUUGGUAUUCCUUGGAGCAUGCCUGUUUGAGUAUCAUGAAAUCUUCAAAGUAAAUCUUUUGUUAACUCAAUUGGUUUCUACUUUGGUAUUGGAGGUCUUUGCAGCUUCACACCUGCUCCUCUUUGUUCAUUAGCUGGAUCUCAGUGUUAUGCUUGGUUCCACUCGGCGUGAUAAGUUAUCUAUCGCUGAGGACACUGUAAAAGGUGGCCAAGGUAAAUGCAGAUGAACCGCUUCUAAUAGUCCAUUGACUUGGACAAUACUUUUAUGAUCUGAUCUCAAAUCAGGUAGGACUACCCGCUGAACUUAAGC